This 253-nucleotide ribosomal RNA is filed under the name uncultured bacterium. Its description in RNAcentral is "partial 16S ribosomal RNA". It matches the Rfam family "Bacterial small subunit ribosomal RNA", at positions 524 to 776 of the family's 1533-position model. The record is from RNAcentral.
UACGGAGGGUGCGAGCGUUAUUCGGAAUUACUGGGCGUAAAGCGCGUGCAGGCGGGAGAGUGGGUCUGAUGUGAAAGCCCGGGGCUUAACCCCGGAAGAGCAUUGGAAACUGCUUUUCUUGAGUUUCGGAGAGGAAGGGGGAAUUCCCGGUGUAGAGGUGAAAUUCGUAGAGAUCGGGAGGAACACCAGUGGCGAAGGCGCCCUUCUGGACGACAACUGACGCUGAGACGCGAAAGCGUGGGGAGCAAACAGG